ACGAGUGAGCAAAGUCACUUUCCCUUCGGGGCAUUGGAGACAGGUGGUGCAUGGUUGUCGUCAGCUCGUGUCGUGAGAUGUUGGGUUAAGUCCCGCAACGAGCGCAACCCCUAUUUCCAGUAGCCAGCAAGAAAGAUGGGAACUCUGGAGAGACUGCCCGGGAUAACUGGGAGGAAGGCGGGGAUGACGUCAAAUCAUCAUGCCCCUUAUGAUCAGGGCUACACACGUGCUACAAUGGCGUAAACAAAGGGAAGCGAAGUGGUGACACGAAGCAAAUCCGAAAAACAACGUCUCAGUUCGGAUUGUAGUCUGCAACUCGACUACAUGAAGCUGGAAUCGCUAGUAAUCGCGAAUCAGAGUGUCGCGGUGAAUACGUUCCCGGGUCUUGUACACACCGCCCGUCACACCAUGGGAGUCGGAAAUGCCCGAAGUCAGUGACCCAACCGAGAGGAGGGAGCUGCCGAAGGUGGAGCCGGUAACUGGGGUGAAGUCGUAACAAGGUAGCCGUAUCGGAAGGUGCGGCUGGA
RNAcentral lists this ribosomal RNA (527 nucleotides) under uncultured bacterium. RNAcentral's name for it is "bacterial SSU rRNA". It matches the Rfam family "Bacterial small subunit ribosomal RNA", at positions 994 to 1522 of the family's 1533-position model. The record is from RNAcentral.